This 301-nucleotide ribosomal RNA is filed under the name uncultured bacterium. Its description in RNAcentral is "partial 16S ribosomal RNA". It matches the Rfam family "Bacterial small subunit ribosomal RNA", at positions 509 to 809 of the family's 1533-position model. The record is from RNAcentral.
CAGUCGCCGCGGUAAUACGUAGGUGGCAAGCGUUGCCCGGAAUUAUUGGGCGUAAAGCGCGCGCAGGUGGAUCAGUUAGUCUGUCUUAAAAGUUCGGGGCUUAACCCCGUGAGGGGAUGGAAACUGCUGAUCUAGAGUAUCGGAGAGGAAGGUGGAAUUCCUAGUGUAGCGGUGAAAUGCGUAGAUAUUAGGGAGAACACCAGUGGCGAAGGCGACUUUCUGGACGAAAACUGACGCUGAGGCGCGAAAGCCAGGGGAGCGAACGGGAUUAGAUACCCCCGUAGUCCCUGUCUCUUAUACA